This 999-nucleotide ribosomal RNA is filed under the name Treponema denticola. Its description in RNAcentral is "bacterial SSU rRNA". It matches the Rfam family "Bacterial small subunit ribosomal RNA", at positions 28 to 1018 of the family's 1533-position model. Lineage: Bacteria; Pseudomonadati; Spirochaetota; Spirochaetia; Treponematales; Treponemataceae. The record is from RNAcentral.
AACGAACGCUGGCGGCGCGUCUUAAGCAUGCAAGUCGAACGGUAAGGGAGAGCUUGCACUCCCCUAGAGUGGCGGACUGGUGAGUAACGCGUGGGUGACCUGCCCUGAAGAUGGGGAUAGCUAGUAGAAAUAUUAGAUAAUACCGAAUGCGCUCAUUUACAUAAAGGUGAAUGAGGAAAGGAGCUACGGCUCCGCUUUAGGAUGGGCCCGCGUCCCAUUAGCUGGUUGGUGAGGUAAAGGCUCACCAAGGCAACGAUGGGUAUCCGGCCUGAGAGGGUGAACGGACACAUUGGGACUGAGAUACGGCCCAAACUCCUACGGGAGGCAGCAGCUAAGAAUCUUCCGCAAUGGACGAAAGUCUGACGGAGCGACGCCGUGUGAAUGAAGAAGGCCGAAAGGUUGUAAAAUUCUUUUGCAGAUGAAGAAUAAUCAUAGGAGGGAAUGCCUGUGAGAUGACGGUAAUCAUGCGAAUAAGCCCCGGCUAAUUACGUGCCAGCAGCCGCGGUAACACGUAAGGGGCGAGCGUUGUUCGGAAUUAUUGGGCGUAAAGGGUAUGUAGGCGGUUAGGUAAGCCUGGUGUGAAAUCUACGAGCUCAACUCGUAAACUGCAUUGGGUACUGCUUGACUUGAAUCACGGAGGGGAAACCGGAAUUCCAAGUGUAGGGGUGGAAUCUGUAGAUAUUUGGAAGAACACCGGUGGCGAAGGCGGGUUUCUGGCCGAUGAUUGACGCUGAUAUACGAAGGUGCGGGGAGCAAACAGGAUUAGAUACCCUGGUAGUCCGCACAGUAAACGAUGUACACUAGGUGUCGGGGCAAGAGCUUCGGUGCCGACGCAAACGCAUUAAGUGUACCGCCUGGGAAGUAUGCCCGCAAGGGUGAAACUCAAGGAAUUGACGGGGGCCCACACAAGCGGUGGAGCAUGUGGUUUAAUUCAUGAUACGCGAGAAACCUUACCUGGGUUUGACAUCCAGAGCAAUGACAUAGAGAUAUGGCAGCGUA